GACGAACGCUGGCGGCGUGCUUAACACAUGCAAGUCGAACGAAGAGCGAUGGAAGCUUGCUUCUAUCAAUCUUAGUGGCGAACGGGUGAGUAACGCGUAAUCAACCUGCCCUUCAGAGGGGGACAACAGUUGGAAACGACUGCUAAUACCGCAUACGAUCUAAUCUCGGCAUCGAGGAUAGAUGAAAGGUGGCCUCUAUGUAUAAGCUAUCACUGAAGGAGGGGAUUGCGUCUGAUUAGCUAGUUGGAGGGGUAACGGCCCACCAAGGCGAUGAUCAGUAGCCGGUCUGAGAGGAUGAACGGCCACAUUGGGACUGAGACACGGCCCAGACUCCUACGGGAGGCAGCAGUGGGGAAUCUUCCGCAAUGGACGAAAGUCUGACGGAGCAACGCCGCGGGAGUGAGGACGGCCUUCGGGUUGUAAAGCUCUGUUAAUCGGGACGAAAGGCCUUCUUGCGAAUAGUGAGAAGGAUUGACGGUACCGGAAUAGAAAGCCACGGCUAACUACGUG
RNAcentral lists this ribosomal RNA (510 nucleotides) under uncultured bacterium. Its description in RNAcentral is "partial 16S ribosomal RNA". It matches the Rfam family "Bacterial small subunit ribosomal RNA", at positions 28 to 507 of the family's 1533-position model. The record is from RNAcentral.